UGAGGAAUAUUGGUCAAUGGGGCGAGAGCCUGAACCAGCCAAGUAGCGUGCAGGACGACGGCCCUAUGGGUUGUAAACUGCUUUUAUACGGGAAUAAAGUGAUGCCUGCGGGCGUUAUUGCAUGUACCGUACGAAUAAGGACCGGCUAAUUCCGUGCCAGCAGCCGCGGUAAUACGGAGGAUGCGAGCGUUAUCCGGAUUUAUUGGGUUUAAAGGGUGCGCAGGCGGCGCGCCAAGUCGGCGGUCAAAGUUCCGGGCUCAACCCGGUGUCGCCGUUGAAACUGGCGUGCUCGAGUGCGUGCGAGGAAGGCGGAAUGCGUUGUGUAGCGGUGAAAUGCAUAGAUAUGACGCAGAACUCCGAUUGCGAAGGCAGCUUUCCAGCGCGCUACUGACGCUGAGGCACGAAAGCGUGGGGAU
RNAcentral lists this ribosomal RNA (416 nucleotides) under uncultured Prevotella sp. RNAcentral describes it as "bacterial SSU rRNA". It matches the Rfam family "Bacterial small subunit ribosomal RNA", at positions 355 to 768 of the family's 1533-position model. The record is from RNAcentral. Lineage: Bacteria; Pseudomonadati; Bacteroidota; Bacteroidia; Bacteroidales; Prevotellaceae.